RNAcentral lists this ribosomal RNA (449 nucleotides) under uncultured bacterium. RNAcentral's name for it is "partial 16S ribosomal RNA". It matches the Rfam family "Bacterial small subunit ribosomal RNA", at positions 29 to 523 of the family's 1533-position model. The record is from RNAcentral.
AAUGAACGCUGGCGGCAUGCCUAACACAUGCAAGUCGAACGAAGGCUUCGGCCUUAGUGGCGCACGGGUGCGUAACGCGUGGGAAUCUGCCCUCAGGUUCGGAAUAACAGCGAGAAAUUGCUGCUAAUACCGGAUGAUAUCGCGAGAUCAAAGAUUUAUCGCCUGAGGAUGAGCCCGCGUAGGAUUAGCUAGUUGGUGUGGUAAAGGCGCACCAAGGCGACGAUCCUUAGCUGGUCUGAGAGGAUGAUCAGCCACACUGGGACCGAGACACGGCCCAGACUCCUACGGGAGGCAGCAGUGGGGAAUAUUGGACAAUGGGCGAAAGCCUGAUCCAGCAAUGCUGCGUGAGUGAUGAAGGCCUUAGGGUUGUAAAGCUCUUUUACCCGGGAUGAUAAUGACAGUACCGGGAGAAUAAGCUCCGGCUAACUCCGUGCCAGCAGCCGCGGUAA